CCUACGGGAGGCAGCAGUGGGGAAUAUUGGACAAUGGGCGCAAGCCUGAUCCAGCAAUACCGCGUGAGUGAUGAAGGUCUUCGGAUUGUAAAGCUCUUUUAAGUGGAGAAGAUAAUGACGGUAUCCACAGAAAAAGCACCGGCAAACUUCGUGCCAGCAGCCGCGGUAAUACGAAGGGUGCUAGCGUUGUUCGGAAUCAUUGGGCGUAAAGCGUACGUAGGCGGUUUAGUAAGUCGAUUGUGAAAUACCCGAGCUCAACUUGGGAACUUGCAAUCGAAACUGCUUUGCUAGAGUUUAGUGGGGGAUAGUGGAAUUCCUAGUGUAGGGGUGAAAUCCGUAGAUAUUAGGAGGAACAUCAGUGGCGAAGGCGACUAUCUACGCUAAUACUGACGCUAAGGUACGAAAGCGUGGGGAGCAAACAGGAUUAGAUACCCUGGUAAGUCCACGGCAGUAAACGAUGAGUGCCUAGUUGUCGGGGUCUUAGACUUCGGUGGCGAAGCUAACGCGUUUAAGCACUCCGCCUGGGGACUACGGUCGCAAGACUAAAACUCAAAGUGAAUUGACGGNNGAGACGAGACGAGACGACGACGAGGAGUAGG
RNAcentral lists this ribosomal RNA (599 nucleotides) under uncultured bacterium. RNAcentral describes it as "bacterial SSU rRNA". It matches the Rfam family "Bacterial small subunit ribosomal RNA", at positions 338 to 950 of the family's 1533-position model. The record is from RNAcentral.